GUACCCAGUGUGAAGAGUCUUUGGACCUUGACAAGGCACUUGACUCCCAAAUCAGUGAAGUAUAUACAAGAUGAACGAAUGCCCAAAACUUGGAAGUCUAUGGAGAAUUUGUUGGCUCAGACAAGAAGAAUAGUUUUGGUGGCUAGUAAGUGAGCUGCCUGUUGAGCAUUAAAACCAUAAAAUGCCCAAAACACUGGUUUCUCUAGGUCUUCAGGGUCGCAGUAGCGUGUCCCAAGAAACCUAGAGAAACCAGUGUUUUGGGCAUUUU
RNAcentral lists this unclassified non-coding RNA (268 nucleotides) under Hevea brasiliensis (rubber tree). The record is from RNAcentral. Lineage: Eukaryota; Viridiplantae; Streptophyta; Magnoliopsida; Malpighiales; Euphorbiaceae.